Molecule: ribosomal RNA, 497 nt
Filed under: uncultured bacterium
Lineage: Bacteria
Description: partial 16S ribosomal RNA
Rfam family: Bacterial small subunit ribosomal RNA
Source: RNAcentral
GAUGAACGCUGGCGGCGUGCCUAAUACAUGCAAGUCGAGCGAACGGACGAGAAGCUUGCUUCACUGAUGUUAGCGGCGGACGGGUGAGUAACACGUGGAUAACCUACCUAUAAGACUGGGAUAACUUCGGGAAACCGUAGCUAAUACCGGAUAAUAUCUUGAACCGCAUGGUUCAAAAGUGAAAGACGGUCUUGCUGUCCCCUAUAGAUGUAUCCGCGCUGCAUUAGCUAGUUGGUAAGUUAACGGCUUCCCAAGGCAACGAUGCAUAGCCGACCUGAGAGGGUGUUCGGCCACACUGGAACUGAGACACGGCCCAGACUCCUACGGGAGGCAGCAGUAGGGAAUCUUCCGCAAUGGGCGAAAUCCUGACGGAGCAACGCCGCGUGGGUGAUGAAGGGCUUCGGAUCGUAAAACUCUGUUAUUAGGGAAGAACAUAUGUGGAAGGAACUGUGCACAUCGUGACGGUACCUAAUCAGAAAGCCACGGCUAACUACGUG